CCCUUAGAUGUUCUGGGCAGCACGCGCGCUACAAUGGUCUUCGCAAACGGAUGCAUUCUCGAAGGAGAAUGCCAAUCUUGGAAUCUAUGCCUUGGUCGGGACAGUUGCUUGCAAUUUUUCGACUCGAACCAGGAAUUCCUUGUAAUCGUGAUUCAUCACAUCACGAUGAAUACGUCCCUGCCCUUUGUACACACCGCCCGUCGCUCCCACCGAUCGAAGAGUUAGGUGAAUUGUUUUGAUCGAUAAGAUUUGACUAUGGUCAACUCUCGUUGUGAAAUUCUGUGAAUCUGACUGUUUAGAGGAAGGAAAAGCCGUAACA
This 319-nucleotide ribosomal RNA is filed under the name uncultured eukaryote. RNAcentral describes it as "partial 18S ribosomal RNA". It matches the Rfam family "Eukaryotic small subunit ribosomal RNA", at positions 1470 to 1796 of the family's 1831-position model. The record is from RNAcentral.